GAUGAACGCUGGCGGCGUGCUUAACACAUGCAAGUCGAACGAAGCACCUUGAUUUGAUUCUUCGGAUGAAGAUCCUGGUGACUGAGUGGCGGACGGGUGAGUAACGCGUGGGUAACCUGCCUCAUACAGGGGGAUAACAGUUAGAAAUGACUGCUAAUACCGCAUAAGACCACAGCACCGCAUGGUGCAGGGGUAAAAACUCCGGUGGUAUGAGAUGGACCCGCGUCUGAUUAGGUAGUUGGUGGGGUAACGGCCUACCAAGCCGACGAUCAGUAGCCGACCUGAGAGGGUGACCGGCCACAUUGGGACUGAGACACGGCCCAAACUCCUACGGGAGGCAGCAGUGGGGAAUAUUGCACAAUGGGGGAAACCCUGAUGCAGCGACGCCGCGUGAGCGAUGAAGUAUUUCGGUAUGUAAAGCUCUAUCAGCAGGGAAGAAAAUGACGGUACCUGACUAAGAAGCACCGGC
This 469-nucleotide ribosomal RNA is filed under the name uncultured bacterium. Its description in RNAcentral is "bacterial SSU rRNA". It matches the Rfam family "Bacterial small subunit ribosomal RNA", at positions 28 to 497 of the family's 1533-position model. The record is from RNAcentral.